RNAcentral lists this ribosomal RNA (620 nucleotides) under Meyerozyma guilliermondii. Its description in RNAcentral is "eukaryotic LSU rRNA". It matches the Rfam family "Eukaryotic large subunit ribosomal RNA", at positions 34 to 664 of the family's 3401-position model. The record is from RNAcentral. Lineage: Eukaryota; Fungi; Ascomycota; Pichiomycetes; Serinales; Debaryomycetaceae.
UUUUGCAUAUCAAUAAGCGGAGGAAAAGAAACCAACAGGGAUUGCCUUAGUAGCGGCGAGUGAAGCGGCAAAAGCUCAAAUUUGAAAUCUGGCACCUUCGGUGUCCGAGUUGUAAUUUGAAGAUUGUAACCUUGGGGUUGGCUCUUGUCUAUGUUUCUUGGAACAGGACGUCACAGAGGGUGAGAAUCCCGUGCGAUGAGAUGCCCAAUCCUAUGUAAGGUGCUUUCGAAGAGUCGAGUUGUUUGGGAAUGCAGCUCUAAGUGGGUGGUAAAUUCCAUCUAAAGCUAAAUAUUGGCGAGAGACCGAUAGCGAACAAGUACAGUGAUGGAAAGAUGAAAAGAACUUUGAAAAGAGAGUGAAAAAGUACGUGAAAUUGUUGAAAGGGAAGGGUUUGAGAUCAGACUCGAUAUUUUGUGAGCCUUGCCUUCGUGGCGGGGUGACCCGCAGCUUAUCGGGCCAGCAUCGGUUUGGGCGGUAGGAUAAUGGCGUAGGAAUGUGACUUUGCUUCGGUGAAGUGUUAUAGCCUGCGUUGAUGCUGCCUGCCUAGACCGAGGACUGCGAUUUUAUCAAGGAUGCUGGCAUAAUGAUCCCAAACCGCCCGUCUUGAAACACGGAACCAA